Molecule: ribosomal RNA, 596 nt
Filed under: uncultured bacterium
Lineage: Bacteria
Description: bacterial SSU rRNA
Rfam family: Bacterial small subunit ribosomal RNA
Source: RNAcentral
AAUGCCUAGGAAUCUGCCUGGUAGUGGGGGAUAACGUUCGGAAACGGACGCUAAUACCGCAUACGUCCUACGGGAGAAAGUGGGGGAUCUUCGGACCUCACGCUAUCAGAUGAGCCUAGGUCGGAUUAGCUAGUUGGUGGGGUAAUGGCUCACCAAGGCGACGAUCCGUAACUGGUCUGAGAGGAUGAUCAGUCACACUGGAACUGAGACACGGUCCAGACUCCUACGGGAGGCAGCAGUGGGGAAUAUUGGACAAUGGGCGAAAGCCUGAUCCAGCCAUGCCGCGUGUGUGAAGAAGGUCUUCGGAUUGUAAAGCACUUUAAGUUGGGAGGAAGGGCAGUCAGUUAAUACCUGGUUGUUUUGACGUUACCAACAGAAUAAGCACCGGCUAACUUCGUGCCAGCAGCCGCGGUAAUACGAAGGGUGCAAGCGUUAAUCGGAAUUACUGGGCGUAAAGCGCGCGUAGGUGGUUCAGCAAGUUGGAGGUGAAAUCCCCGGGCUCAACCUGGGAACUGCCUCCAAAACUACUGAGCUAGAGUACGGUAGAGGGUGGUGGAAUUUCCUGUGUAGCGGUGAAAUGCGUAGAUAUAGGAAGG